ACUGUUUACCAAAAACAUAGCCCUCGGCUAAUAUGAAAAUAGAUGUAUAGAGGGUGAUGCCUGCCCAAUGGUUGUAUCUAAAAGCGGUUGAUAAAAGUCGACCUUGUAAGGACAAUUGAAUGGCCGCGGUAACACUGACCGUGAUAAUGUAGCGUAAUCAAUAGCCAAUUAAUUGUUGGCCAGUAUGAAUGGCGCCACGAAGGCCCCACUGUCUUAAGGAAAUUCCCAGUGAAAUUGAAUUCGUAGUGAAGAUGCUACGUCCAAUUUGUUAGACGAAAAGACCCCGUUGAGCUUUACUGGAGCACUUAUAUGGCCCCGGCCUUCCCAUGCCUGGGAACCGGCCGAAUUUAAAUGGGCGGCUUAGAUUAUGUGGCAGCCCCCCGCUGGGGCAAAUGAAACACCACUCCCCCAUGUCAAAGGGGCUAACCCCCCCCUUGGGGGGGAC
Molecule: ribosomal RNA, 445 nt
Filed under: Zoanthus natalensis
Lineage: Eukaryota; Metazoa; Cnidaria; Anthozoa; Zoantharia; Zoanthidae
Description: partial 16S ribosomal RNA
Rfam family: Bacterial large subunit ribosomal RNA
Source: RNAcentral